GCAUAUCAAUAAGCGGAGGAAAAGAAACCAACAGGGAUUGCCUUAGUAACGGCGAGUGAAGCGGCAAAAGCUCAAAUUUGAAAUCGGCCUCCAGGUCGAGUUGUAAUUUGUAGAUUGUAUCUUGAGAGCGGAUUAAAGUCUGUUGGAACACAGCGCCUUAGAGGGUGACAGCCCCGUAAAAUCUAUUCUCAUUGUAAGAUACUUUCGAAGAGUCGAGUUGUUUGGGAAUGCAGCUCUAAGUGGGAGGUAAAUUCCUUCUAAAGCUAAAUAUUGACGAGAGACCGAUAGCGAACAAGUACUGUGAAGGAAAGAUGAAAAGCACUUUGAAAAGAGAGUGAAAAAGUACGUGAAAUUGUUAAAAGGGAAGGGUAUUGAAUCAGACUUGGUGCUGUUGUUCAACCAUGUUUCGGCAUGGUGUACUCAGCAGUACUAGGCCAAGGUGGGGUGUUUGGGAGUGAAAAAGAAGUAGGAACGUAACUCUUCGGAGUGUUAUAGCCUACUUUCAUAGCUCCUCAGGCGCCUCAGGACUGCGCUUCGGCAAGGACCUUGGCAUAAUGAUUCUAUACCGCCCGUCUUGAAACACGGACC
RNAcentral lists this ribosomal RNA (588 nucleotides) under uncultured fungus. Its description in RNAcentral is "eukaryotic LSU rRNA". It matches the Rfam family "Eukaryotic large subunit ribosomal RNA", at positions 38 to 667 of the family's 3401-position model. The record is from RNAcentral. Lineage: Eukaryota; Fungi.